Molecule: long non-coding RNA, 420 nt
Filed under: Takifugu rubripes (torafugu)
Lineage: Eukaryota; Metazoa; Chordata; Actinopteri; Tetraodontiformes; Tetraodontidae
Description: lncRNA (ENSTRUG00000027590.1)
Source: RNAcentral
CAGCCUAAAUACUGGUUUUAUGAAUCAUCAGUCACACCAAGCGAAUUUUUAAAAGCUAAAUUUUGCCUUUACAGCCUUCGUCGAUGAGACUUUCCUCCUCUUCAGCCCCGGGGGGUCACGACUACACACUGUUGUGUGAAGGAAACUGUCGCUAACGCAAAGUGCCGCGCUGCUUCUGGCCUCAACGAGCCACAGCGGCCGUGAACGCUGUUUGCUUUGGCAGGGACUGUGUGAGCUGCAGUCGCACGUUGCGAGGAACAUCGUAGCGAUUUACUCACGCGUGUGUUUAUUCAUGGGUUACCUCAGCGGCGCGUCACCGCGGACGACGACGUCGCUCUGCCGCCGCCCACCAACAACACUUCAUCUACAACUGCGCCUCUGCUCAUCUGACGACUCCCCAGAUGAAAUUUAGGAGGGUUU